AGAGUUUGAUCAUGGCUCAGAUUGAACGCUGGCGGCAGGCCUAACACAUGCAAGUCGAGCGGUAGCACAGGAGAGCUUGCUCUCUGGGUGACGAGCGGCGGACGGGUGAGUAAUGUCUGGGAAACUGCCUGAUGGAGGGGGAUAACUACUGGAAACGGUAGCUAAUACCGCAUAACGUCUUCGGACCAAAGUGGGGGACCUUCGGGCCUCACGCCAUCAGAUGUGCCCAGAUGGGAUUAGCUAGUAGGUGGGGUAAUGGCUCACCUAGGCGACGAUCCCUAGCUGGUCUGAGAGGAUGACCAGCCACACUGGAACUGAGACACGGUCCAGACUCCUACGGGAGGCAGCAGUGGGGAAUAUUGCACAAUGGGCGCAAGCCUGAUGCGGCCAUGCCGCGUGUGUGAAGAAGGCCUUCGGGUUGUAAAGCACUUUCAGCGAGGAGGAAGGGUAGUGUGUUAAUAGCACAUUGCAUUGACGUUACUCGCAGAAGAAGCACCGGCUAACUCCGUGCCAGCAGCCGCGGUAAUACGGAGGGUGCAAGCGUUAAUCGGAAUUACUGGGCGUAAAGCGCACGCAGGCGGUUUGUUAAGUCAGAUGUGAAAUCCCCGCGCUUAACGUGGGAACUGCAUUUGAAACUGGCAAGCUAGAGUCUUGUAGAGGGGGGUAGAAUUCCAGGUGUAGCGGUGAAAUGCGUAGAGAUCUGGAGGAAUACCAGUGGCGAAGGCGGCCCCCUGGACAAAGACUGACGCUCAGGUGCGAAAGCGUGGGGAGCAAACAGGAUUAGAUACCCCGGUAGU
Molecule: ribosomal RNA, 797 nt
Filed under: uncultured bacterium
Lineage: Bacteria
Description: bacterial SSU rRNA
Rfam family: Bacterial small subunit ribosomal RNA
Source: RNAcentral